This 275-nucleotide long non-coding RNA is filed under the name Salvia miltiorrhiza (redroot sage). RNAcentral's name for it is "long non-coding RNA (SMIL_LNC013662)". Lineage: Eukaryota; Viridiplantae; Streptophyta; Magnoliopsida; Lamiales; Lamiaceae. The record is from RNAcentral.
UUUUCGGCACGGGAUUUAAGGAGUUGUAGAUUAAUGUUUUAAGUGUGUAAUAAUAAAGUGAUAAAGUAGGAGAGAGAAAGUAAUAAAGGGAUAAAGUAAGAAAGAGAAGGUAAUAAAGUGAUAAAGUAGAAGAGAGAAGGUAAUAAAAAAAUACUUAAUUAGUGUUAAUUAAGUGUUUAAAAUUCCUUAUUUUUGCCAAAUAUAGAAAUGUAGCAUCUUCGUUGGGACGGCCCAAAAAGGAAUAUGUAGCAUCUUGGGCGGGACGGAGGGAGUAU